This 87-nucleotide transfer RNA is filed under the name Endozoicomonas montiporae CL-33. Its description in RNAcentral is "tRNA-Leu". It matches the Rfam family "tRNA". Rfam says of the family: Transfer RNA (tRNA) molecules are approximately 80 nucleotides in length. Their secondary structure includes four short double-helical elements and three loops (D, anti-codon, and T loops). RNAcentral also lists the same sequence under 2 other names. Lineage: Bacteria; Pseudomonadati; Pseudomonadota; Gammaproteobacteria; Oceanospirillales; Endozoicomonadaceae. The record is from RNAcentral.
GCCCAAGUGGUGGAAUUGGUAGACACGCCAUCUUGAGGGGGUGGUGAUCGUAUGAUCGUGCGGGUUCAAGUCCCGCCUUGGGCACCA